GCGGAUGUGGCGGAAUUGGCAGACGCGCAGGUCUCAGAAGCCUGUGGCCGUGAGGUCGUGGAGGUUCGAUCCCUCUCAUCCGCA
RNAcentral lists this transfer RNA (84 nucleotides) under Acidobacteriota bacterium. RNAcentral's name for it is "Acidobacteria bacterium tRNA-Leu". It matches the Rfam family "tRNA". From Rfam's summary of the family: Transfer RNA (tRNA) molecules are approximately 80 nucleotides in length. The record is from RNAcentral. Lineage: Bacteria; Pseudomonadati; Acidobacteriota. RNAcentral also lists the same sequence under 2 other names.